This 253-nucleotide ribosomal RNA is filed under the name uncultured bacterium. RNAcentral's name for it is "partial 16S ribosomal RNA". It matches the Rfam family "Bacterial small subunit ribosomal RNA", at positions 524 to 776 of the family's 1533-position model. The record is from RNAcentral.
UACAGAGGUCUCGAGCGUUGGGCGGAAUCACUGGGCUUAAAGCGCGUGUAGGUGGAUGCCUAAGUACCUUGUGAAAUCCCUCGGCUUAACCGGGGAACUGCGUCCGAUACUGGUUGGCUUGAGUUUGGGAGAGGGAUGCGGAAUUCCAGGUGUAGCGGUGAAAUGCGUAGAUAUCUGGAGGAACACCGGUGGCGAAGGCGGCAUCCUGGACCAAUACUGACGCUGAGGAGCGAAAGCCAGGGGAGCAAACGGG